This 701-nucleotide long non-coding RNA is filed under the name Homo sapiens (human). RNAcentral's name for it is "HSALNT0352735". The record is from RNAcentral. Lineage: Eukaryota; Metazoa; Chordata; Mammalia; Primates; Hominidae.
AAAACUGACCGAGUAAAUGUGAAUAUUUUUUCACUUGAACACUCUGAUCUGUUUGGAACUUAAUUUCCUUACUCAUGAAAUUAAUAUAAUAAGGCUAAGUUGGUCAGUAGUUAAACUAACUAAAUUUGGCUGAAGAUUGCUAUGUUCACUAUGCAAAGAUUAGACCGUUAGUUCCCUGAGUGAAGAGAUGCUAUCUUGGUAUCUCCAGCUUCCAACCGGGGGCUUGGCACAGAAUAGGGGCUUGGUAAAUGUUUUCCAAAUGAAUGGGAUGUCUGAUGGAAAGAAGACAAGGUGAAGGAAUUCCUGGGUAAUAUGGAGAUGAGAAUCUGUGAGAAGGAUACAUGUACUGAUGCCUGUCGCGGUGGACACACAGACGCACACAUUGCGGAACACCACCAUAAGAAUAUUGAGAAUAUCGAGAACACUUCAAUAUUCCAAACUUCAAUGGAAAUAUACAUGCUGUAAAAUUUCAAAUUCAUGCUCCACUUCUUAUAAAAGGAACUGGAGUACACUCUUCUUCUGCCCUUGGACAUCAGGCUCUCUGGCCUUUGGACUCCAGGACUUAUACCAGCGCCCCUCUGGGUUCUCAGGCCUCUGUACUUGAACUGAGCCACACUGCCAGCAUGCCAGCUUCUCCAGCUUGCCAGGCCUGCUGUGGGACUUCUCAGCCUCCAUAAUCAUGUGUGCCAAUUCCCCUAAUA